Molecule: ribosomal RNA, 534 nt
Filed under: Alteromonas sp.
Lineage: Bacteria; Pseudomonadati; Pseudomonadota; Gammaproteobacteria; Alteromonadales; Alteromonadaceae
Description: bacterial SSU rRNA
Rfam family: Bacterial small subunit ribosomal RNA
Source: RNAcentral
GACCCUGAUGCAGCCAUGCCGCGUGUGUGAAGAAGGCCUUCGGGUUGUAAAGCACUUUCAGUUGUGAGGAAAAGUUAGUAGUUAAUACCUGCUAGCCGUGACGUUAACAACAGAAGAAGCACCGGCUAACUCCGUGCCAGCAGCCGCGGUAAUACGGAGGGUGCGAGCGUUAAUCGGAAUUACUGGGCGUAAAGCGCACGCAGGCGGUUUGUUAAGCUAGAUGUGAAAGCCCCGGGCUCAACCUGGGAUGGUCAUUUAGAACUGGCAGACUAGAGUCUUGGAGAGGGGAGUGGAAUUCCAGGUGUAGCGGUGAAAUGCGUAGAUAUCUGGAGGAACAUCAGUGGCGAAGGCGACUCCCUGGCCAAAGACUGACGCUCAUGUGCGAAAGUGUGGGUAGCGAACAGGAUUAGAUACCCUGGUAGUCCACACCGUAAACGCUGUCUACUAGCUGUGUGUGUCUUUAAGACGUGCGUAGCGAAGCUAACGCGCUAAGUAGACCGCCUGGGGAGUACGGCCGCAAGGUUAAAACUCAAA